AAAUAAAGAGAUAAACCCAUGAUCUCACAAUAAUAAAAACAAAUAUUAAAAUCUUAAUAAUUAGGAAACAACCCACGUUAAACUAAACUACAAACCCAAUACUACAAUUAUUGGGAGAUUUCAGAGAAAGGAAGCUAUAUUACUUUGAUUGAAAAAACUUAGGAAACAAGUUACAAAAUACUGAAUAUUUAAAUAAAGAUAUAAACUACCCAU
RNAcentral lists this long non-coding RNA (213 nucleotides) under Brassica napus (rape). RNAcentral describes it as "long non-coding RNA (BNAP_LNC017712)". Lineage: Eukaryota; Viridiplantae; Streptophyta; Magnoliopsida; Brassicales; Brassicaceae. The record is from RNAcentral.